AUUGAAGCACCGACUCCCAUAAGAUCACGGAAGUUAAGCAACGUCGGGCCUGAUCAGUACCUAAAUGAAUAACCGCUUGGAAGUACCAGGUGAU
This is a non-coding RNA of Acanthosepion pharaonis, 94 nucleotides long. The record is from the annotation of a GenBank genome assembly. NCBI's taxonomy places the organism in Eukaryota, Metazoa, Mollusca, Cephalopoda, Sepiida, Sepiidae.